AGGUUGGCUAAUCCUGGUCGGACAUCAGGAGGUUAGUGCAAUGGCAUAAGCCAGCUUGACUGCGAGCGUGACGGCGCGAGCAGGUGCGAAAGCAGGUCAUAGUGAUCCGGUGGUUCUGAAUGGAAGGGCCAUCGCUCAACGGAUAAAAGGUACUCCGGGGAUAACAGGCUGAUACCGCCCAAGAGUUCAUAUCGACGGCGGUGUUUGGCACCUCGAUGUCGGCUCAUCACAUCCUGGGGCUGAAGUAGGUCCCAAGGGUAUGGCUGUUCGCCAUUUAAAGUGGUACGCGAGCUGGGUUUAGAACGUCGUGAGACAGUUCGGUCCCUAUCUGCCGUGGGCGCUGGAGAACUGAGGGGGGCUGCUCCUAGUACGAGAGGACCGGAGUGGACGCAUCACUGGUGUUCGGGUUGUCAUGCCAAUGGCACUGCCCGGUAGCUAAAUGCGGAAGAGAUAAGUGCUGAAAGCAUCUAAGCACGAAACUUGCCCCGAGAUGAGUUCUCCCUGACUCCUUGAGAGUCCUGAAGGAACGUUGAAGACGACGACGUUGAUAGGCCGGGUGUGUAAGCGCAGCGAUGCGUUGAGCUAACCGGUACUAAUGAACCGUGAGG
RNAcentral lists this ribosomal RNA (608 nucleotides) under Escherichia coli. RNAcentral's name for it is "partial 23S ribosomal RNA". It matches the Rfam family "Bacterial large subunit ribosomal RNA", at positions 2314 to 2916 of the family's 2925-position model. The record is from RNAcentral. Lineage: Bacteria; Pseudomonadati; Pseudomonadota; Gammaproteobacteria; Enterobacterales; Enterobacteriaceae.